Molecule: long non-coding RNA, 916 nt
Organism: Syngnathus typhle (broad-nosed pipefish)
Lineage: Eukaryota; Metazoa; Chordata; Actinopteri; Syngnathiformes; Syngnathidae
Exons: 2
Source: RefSeq, a predicted model, not a curated record
UUAGCCAGCCCUUUAUGGGGUGAAGAACCAAAUUUGGUCACUUGAGUGGGUGGCUUAACAUUAACCUCGCAUGCCUCGUUUAUGACGACAUUUUCGUGUUUGUUUGAGACAAACGAGAAGCUGCGAAAUGGACUGGAAGCAGCUGAUCUGGUCUCUGACAGGUUCGCGAAUGUGAAAAGGACACAUACGGGGGGUGGGGGGGGGGAGUGGAAAUGAGGCAUCGGUGUAAAGAGGAGCGAGAAACGGGUCAAGAAGCAGCCAAUGGAUCAAAGAUUCCAGCUUCUAUUUGGGGGCUCUGCUCAAGCUGGAGCGUAAAAUCAAACGCCAGUGAGCCAGAUUCCGACUGACACCUCCUCUAUAACUUAUGUUCUUUUUUUUUUUAAAGCAUAUGGAGACAUCCUUUAAGCACUAGAAAAGAAUCUGGGUGAAUAUCAGUGAGCAGCAGAGUGUUAUCGUUUGUGAUCCAAGGAUUCAAACCUACUGUCAAGCAGUAAAUAAAAAAAGAAUGUGUGGGCCAUAAGAUGUGCAAAUGAUGCACAAGCUAUGCUAGAAUAUUUUUUCUCUGGGGAUGAACACAAAAGGGAGUCCCUGCUAGCACACUUUCCUCUCCCCCUCCUGGAAUAUACUCCAUCUUUAAAGCUGCGUGGAAGCCUAACAGUCACAAAGUACCUUCUGUUCUGCAAAUGGUGAAAAAAAGAGCCAGACAGACAUGGAUUGGGGGCAGGAUGAAAGAGUUACACAGCAAUCUGUUCCUCAUACAACGAUGCAAAAAAGAAAAAGGCAGAACAGGACGUGAUCGAGUUUACGGUGCUGUUGUUGAAUAAGGAUGGAAGAAUUACUUUAAACAUGGGAUUUAACAAAUGGUAACCUCUGUUGAUGCUAUAUUACUCAAUAAAUUCUGAGCAAUAUAUAUUUU